UACGUAGGGGGCAAGCGUUGUCCGGAAUCAUUGGGCGUAAAGAGCGUGUAGGCGGCUCGAUAAGUCUGCUGUGAAAGUCCAGGGCUCAACCCUGGAAGGCCGGUGGAAACUGUCGGGCUAGAGUCCGGAAGAGGCGAGUGGAAUUCCCGGUGUAGCGGUGAAAUGCGCAGAUAUCGGGAGGAACACCAAUGGCGAAGGCAGCUCGCUGGGCAUUACCUGACGCUGAGGAGCGAAAGCAUGGGGAGCGAACAGG
This 253-nucleotide ribosomal RNA is filed under the name uncultured bacterium. RNAcentral describes it as "partial 16S ribosomal RNA". It matches the Rfam family "Bacterial small subunit ribosomal RNA", at positions 524 to 776 of the family's 1533-position model. The record is from RNAcentral.